GGGACUGUAGCUCAGCUGGAUUAGAGCAUCUGCCUUCUAAGCAGAGGGUCGCCUGUUCGAGUCAGGCCAGUCUCA
Molecule: transfer RNA, 75 nt
Filed under: Treponema sp.
Lineage: Bacteria; Pseudomonadati; Spirochaetota; Spirochaetia; Treponematales; Treponemataceae
Description: tRNA-Arg
Rfam family: tRNA
About the family: Transfer RNA (tRNA) molecules are approximately 80 nucleotides in length. Their secondary structure includes four short double-helical elements and three loops (D, anti-codon, and T loops). Further hydrogen bonds mediate the characteristic L-shaped molecular structure. tRNAs have two regions of fundamental functional importance: the anti-codon, which is responsible for specific mRNA codon recognition, and the 3' end, to which the tRNAs corresponding amino acid is attached (by aminoacyl-tRNA synthetases). tRNAs cope with the degeneracy of the genetic code in two manners: having more than one tRNA (with a specific anti-codon) for a particular amino acid; and 'wobble' base-pairing, i.e. permitting non-standard base-pairing at the 3rd anti-codon position.
Source: RNAcentral